Bombus pyrosoma is the source of this 5265-nucleotide long non-coding RNA. RefSeq lists it as uncharacterized. The record is from RefSeq and is a predicted model, not a curated record. The transcript is spliced from 4 exons. Lineage: Eukaryota; Metazoa; Arthropoda; Insecta; Hymenoptera; Apidae.
AUCCAUUCGACAAACGUAGAUAUUGAAUCGCUGUCAAAUCGCAUUGAAAAUGUAUCGAACGCUGAAAUAAAAAAAAAUCGUAGCUAUCGUAAUUGCUCAUAUUGGCUGAUAAUAAAUUCAAAUGGAAUCAGUGCAUAUUACCACAGGCAGCAGUCGUCGCUUAAAUCGUAUAAAAAUACCAGAUUGCUACUAGAAAUAGCGAACAUCGUAUCGCGGAACAGACAGAAGCGUUGGGCCUGUCAGGUUUAUUUUGAAACGCGCGCCGGUUCCAGUCUCUGUAGUAGCUUCGAGUUUCAUACUUUUAACCGCGAUUUCGUAACCUUCCCGAAUAAUAUUUGUAAAGAAACGAGCCUUCAGAAUCAGAUCUUGAACGUAGAGUUUUUCCGCAAAUUUAUCAUCGUAUUAACCUCCGGUGGAUGCGGUUACAAAAAGGUGAACGCGGAUAAAUCAACCGCUUAUUCGGUGCAAUUUUUAUUCGGUGAGAUAUCAAGUAGCUUGAUGAUCACCGUACAUCCUCGCUAUCUCGCAUCAAGACUUUGAUCGAGUCGUUUUCUGCCUGACAAAAUAUGGAACAAAGAAACGAAUGCAUAGAGGGCACACUUUAGGUAGAGACUUAUAAAUUAUCUACAAUUUAUAACUUGUCUUUUGUAGAUACAAACAAAUAAACAAACAGAAUGGAGAAAAAUCGUGGUCUACGUAAUUUUAUUUUCGUAGAAUGUAAAUCAGUCAAAUAGAAACCUGAAUCAGAAAGAUUGUAAACCGACGGAACGACUAGAUUCCUAACGCAUCUGGUAUUCUCGUGCGUGCUUGCGACGUGUACCGACAAACAACUGAACUUUCACAAUUGACAAGCGACCGCUGUGCAGGUACAGUUUCUUGGAAUCUCGUCGUGUACGAUUUCCAUGGUUUUUUGGUGAGCCUCUUCAUCGCGGAACGAAUUAUACGAACGACGUGCCACGAAUAAGAAACGGAUAACGUCAUUGGCUAAUAAACGGGAACGUAACGCGUACAAGACUCGUUCGUUGAUAAGGAUCGGUCACAGCAGAGCCAAAUUUAUGCAGAGUCAGAGAUAGCUACGAUCCAAUUAACGCGUUUAAAAAGAAAUUUUCGCCAUACGUCGUAUCUAUUUUAAUUGAUUUCCGCCACGAUUAUUUCACGAUUCUUUUUCAAUUAUCUUCGAGCGCAACGUUCCGUAAUUUCUCGUUUUUCCCCGUUUUCCUGACCUUUCGAAAACUCAGCGAUGUGUAUAACAGUCGCGCAGACACGCUAUCCGAGUAAUUUCAUUGAAUGACUAAAUAUGUAGAUUUAGUGGCGCCAACUUGGACGAUGACGCAACAGCGAUAACGAAACGACUCUCUCUGGUAACAAUGACCUAGAAAAGUACUCUGGCAAAUUAUUCGUUAGUGAAUUGCGUAAAAUUUCCAAGUGACGUUUACAAAACCCUCUUUUGCAAUCGUUAGGUUCUACGUUUAAUCUUGAAUCGAAGAACACAAGAUCACACAGUUGGUUCGUUAAAUGUGGAAAAUGUAUUUUUUCACGAUCACGUCUGCUUCUCUCGUGGUCUUUGAAGUACUCUUAUUUUCUAACGACCUUCAAUGUCCAGGAAAUAAAGCGGAAAAGCUCGAACCAAAUUAUCAACUAGCGGAAAUUCUGCAAACGAAGAACAAAGCGAGGAUUCCUAAGCGAACAAAUUCCAAGCAUAUCGAACGAAGCUAACAACAUUUCUGAUCCCUGUGAAUUCAUAUCCGAACACGAAGCACGCCAAAAACCGUCCGCAAAUACUACAAGUUCAUUCAAAAUCCAACGGGGAAAAGACUCGAAGCAAUUUGUAUCUGUUACAACCUGUCGGUUCAGGCCAGCGCGAACAAGACGUAGAGGAUCGAAACGACUGAUUUAUCGGCGCGUACGAAAUCCAGAAGCUUCUCUAUCCUUUGGCUGACAUGAACGACAAAGAUCGAAUCAAAAGAUGAUGGAAGAGCAAAACGUUAUAGCCUGACCCACCCACCGUUUUAUCGCCGUUCUUCCGCCCACGCGAUGACGUAUAGCCGCAAGGAAUAUAAUAUCAACGACCGCGUAGACAGGCAAAAAUCAGAAGCCCUUCUCGCUGAAUGAACCCACGCGUCCUUGGGUUCCAAUGGGUUGACAAGACCAAAAGGGGAACGCACGCGAAAGUGACCCUGAAGCAACGUCGAAGUAACAGGGAGUUCAUGGGCAUAGGUGUGACUUAGGAGUGAGUUAAAGCAUCGACCAUUUGAGACUGAAGGAUUUUUCAGUUUAUUGCCAGCCUUUCGAGCCAACAGUUUUCUUCGAGUCGUCGUGAAGAUAUUAGUCAAACAGAAAAGCUUUCGUAAUUACGCAAGCGACGACAACACGACAAUUCACAGGGGCAGAAUAGUUGACCUGAGAUCGUCAUAUCCAGAAAGGGAGCAUCGGAAGUGUCACGUACGGAUUUUAACAAACCAAACAACACGGAUUUCAUUCGCGCUUGAAUCAAGUUACACGUUAGCAUCGGAAUUGUGUCAUUACCAAUAACAGCACUGUAAGGUAAAACGUAAAAACGUUUACUAAUAAUAUCACGUAUUAGCAAAAUAACUUUAUUAAUAACAGAAGAAGCAGUGUAACUUUAUCGAAUACGCACUUAACUUGAUGAGCUCAACUGUUAUUGUUGAAUCGUGAUUUAGCCACAGCAGAAAUAAUUAAAUAGCGUCUUUCUAAUUUUAAAUGAUUAAAAUUUUGAUACAUUUUCCGUUUCACAUAAAUUUGAUAAAAUCUUCAGUGAAUUUUAAAAAAUAAAAUAUUUCAAAAUUUUAAAAGAAUUGAAGACUUCAAACGUUUCAAUGUCCCUUUGAAGUAGCUAUCUGAAACAUUUCAAUGUGAAUGUCAGAUUCAAUAAACAGAAGCUUCACAAGCUACACGAACUUGUCUCCCUUUUUGUUAUCUACUUGUGUUGUCGAAAUGGCACGGAAAUGAGGGAAAUGUAAGUUAUUGAAAUCGUAUAAUAGAAUAUCAAUUAACAAGUGCGAAGUAACGAAUAAUUUAAUAAAAUAAAUGAAAUUCAAUCUCAUACAAAGUCCACAAAUUAUCGAAUUAAUUAAGUUAAUUUGUCAUUUAUAACGCGAGAGAAAGCAAUAUCAAAUAUGAUCAAUUACAAUAUUUUUAACAUUAGUAUUUUCCAGACGAAUUGUCAUAUCUCUCUUCAAAAUUGUCGAGAAAAGAUUUUUUAUUAUAUGUACAUAGAUACACACACGUACCUAUCAAGCUAAACGAAUAAUGAUAAUUGUUGUAACGGAGAAAUCUUCGAUUACGUUAUUACAUAAUGUAAUUGUUAAACUAUUGUUACUGAUACGUGUAUAUAGAAUAUCUAUAAAAGCAAACGUAUCAAAAGACCGAUAGAAAAUCUGCGAUAAAACAAACUUCACAUUGCCUGUGCAAUAAGUUUUGUAAAACAUUUUUGCGGAUUGAUGAAACAGACUGCUGAUCGUUAUUAUACAAGCGCAGAUUACAACUCGAUAUUUAUAGAUUAACGAUCGGUCAGUAGAUGCCGUACUAUCGGCCUCCGAUACUAUUUCUAUUUCUUAUCAUAAACAUCGAAAACCUGUACGGUACUAGACCCAAGAGUUGGUCUGUUUUUGUACACAUUUUAGCGAAACUGAGCUAUCGUUGUUGAAAGCAGCGAUAUUUCCGCGAAAGCUACACCGGUUGUCGACGUUGCUAAUGAUAAAAAUAAAUAAUAAACGGUCGAUCGAAGCGAAAAGAACGUGUCACGGCAAGAAAACAACGAACGAGAAGCUUCUAGAUACACCGCUUUUCUAUUACUACAACUAACUUUCGAGGAAAAAGUAAUAGAAAGUAUGCUACAUGUAAUUAGUAUGUUCCUCGUACAUAUGUUAGCUAUUCGAAAAGAAAUGCUUUCCAAUUAAUAAAACGCAGAAUAAUAAAUAUAAAGUCUCGUACAAGUCACGAGACUCGUCAACUUCGUUCUUUCAUUAUUUUGGAUCAAACUACCCUGAUCUUCUGAUAAGUGAACAAGUAGGUAACCCGAAAGAAUACAACAAAGCCCUGACGUUUCACUUUCGUGGAAGAUACUAAGCGAGAGGUCCUCGCUUUCCAACCACUUGAAGAAUUAAAAGGCGUUAGGAGUGUAAAGCUAAUUUUGCGCACGUGACGCAGCUAGAUGUAAGCAAGCAGGCAUGCAAUCUUACUCGCCGCUUGAUUCUCGGAUCUUAGACCUAGAUCUCAUAUAAUCAGACCACCCAGCGCACUUCCCGCGGUUAUACUGCACUUACAUUACACCAAUUGCUGGCUCGCAUUGAAUUACAUGCAUUCGCCUGGCAAGUAUGCAACACUAUGCAUCACGGUGCAUAGUCGGUACAAGAAACAUAAUAAGAUCAUAAAAUCAAUCUAAAUAAACUCGGUAAGAGGUAAAGUUACGCUUCGAAUUAUUAAGUAUGUUCAAAAAUAUUGAAGAUACGUUUAAAGCGAGUAAUUUGUGACUCUCUAUAGGACGCAAAAAUCUUUAUAGGAAUGCAGUUCAGGAAGUAUAUGACGAGAACUCGGAGUUUUCUACUUUCGUCUGUUCCGAGAGUACGAUAAAAGUCCGGCUGCGAUUGAGCAAAGACAGACAGGAACUUAAUAUCGUACGAUUUUACUAAGACGCGGUAAACAGUACAGUUUUAAUGAAAAAAUUUUGCAAUGUAUAAGAAUUUGUGACCUUACGAUAUCGGUUCCAUUAACUGUACCACGGUGUGCAUAGUGCGCGUGAAGGUCGUGAUCCUUGCGUUGCUCGUGUUGUUCGGGGCCAAUAACACAGUCACGAUUAUGGCAAAGAAGUAACGAGCGAAAAUUGAGAAGCCGUCAAGAGCAUGUAACUCAAGGGGGUUGCACGUUACCCUGCUCGCAAAGAUAAUAAUCACAUCUUAAUAGCACUUCCAAAAUCGGCGAUGCGAUGACAAACGUAGCGCACGAAAUUAGGAGAAGAAGUACCUACGUAAGUUGCAACGAGCGUGUGAACCAAGUUCUUGGUAUGCUAAACAGGUGUAAGAAGUUUCGAGAUAACAUAGUUCGCCAACUUUUAAUACGUCGAGUUUGAUAAACUUUUAUUCCCUGUAUCUUGGUUCUAUCUGAACGUAUAUCUUCAAAUUGGAAUCGUGAAAUUUAUAAGUAAGAGGGACAGGUAUAUUUUAAGUGUCUUUUAAUUUUUCUUGUUGAGAAAGAACGAGAAAAUAAAAAUUAAAAGUGCUAUUUAAUGUCCUGACAUAAUGUGAA